GGGACACGUGGUAUCCUGUCUGAAUAUGGGGGGACCAUCCUCCAAGGCUAAAUACUCCUGACUGACCGAUAGUGAACCAGUACCGUGAGGGAAAGGCGAAAAGAACCCCGGCGAGGGGAGUGAAAAAGAACCUGAAACCGUGUACGUACAAGCAGUGGGAGCACGCUUAGGCGUGUGACUGCGUACCUUUUGUAUAAUGGGUCAGCGACUUAUAUUCUGUAGCAAGGUUAACCGAAUAGGGGAGCCGAAGGGAAACCGAGUCUUAACUGGGCGUUAAGUUGCAGGGUAUAGACCCGAAACCCGGUGAUCUAGCCAUGGGCAGGUUGAAGGUUGGGUAACACUAACUGGAGGACCGAACCGACUAAUGUUGAAAAAUUAGCGGAUGACUUGUGGCUGGGGGUGAAAGGCCAAUCAAACCGGGAGAUAGCUGGUUCUCCCCGAAAGCUAUUUAGGUAGCGCCUCGUGAAUUCAUCUCCGGGGGUAGAGCACUGUUUCGGCAAGGGGGUCAUC
Molecule: ribosomal RNA, 510 nt
Filed under: Escherichia coli
Lineage: Bacteria; Pseudomonadati; Pseudomonadota; Gammaproteobacteria; Enterobacterales; Enterobacteriaceae
Description: partial 23S ribosomal RNA
Rfam family: Bacterial large subunit ribosomal RNA
Source: RNAcentral